GUGGGGAAUAUUGGACAAUGGGCGAAAGCCUGAUCCAGCAAUGCCGCGUGUGUGAAGAAGGCCUGCGGGUUGUAAAGCACUUUCAGUGGGGAAGAAAAGUGCAGCGCUAAUAUCGCUGCAUCUUGACGUUACUCACAGAAGAAGCACCGGCUAACUCCGUGCCAGCAGCCGCGGUAAUACGGAGGGUGCGAGCGUUAAUCGGAAUUACUGGGCGUAAAGCGCACGUAGGCGGUCAGGCAAGUCGGGUGUGAAAGCCCUGGGCUCAACCUGGGAAUUGCAUUCGAAACUAUCUGACUCGAGUAUGGGAGAGGGAAGCGGAAUUUCCGGUGUAGCGGUGAAAUGCGUAGAUAUCGGAAGGAACACCAGUGGCGAAGGCGGCUUCCUGGACUAAUACUGACGCUGAGGUGCGAAAGCGUGGGGAGCAAACAGGAUUAGAAACCCCAGUAGUCC
RNAcentral lists this ribosomal RNA (450 nucleotides) under uncultured bacterium. Its description in RNAcentral is "bacterial SSU rRNA". It matches the Rfam family "Bacterial small subunit ribosomal RNA", at positions 354 to 796 of the family's 1533-position model. The record is from RNAcentral.